This 449-nucleotide ribosomal RNA is filed under the name Salmonella enterica. Its description in RNAcentral is "partial 23S ribosomal RNA". It matches the Rfam family "Bacterial large subunit ribosomal RNA", at positions 2189 to 2637 of the family's 2925-position model. RNAcentral also lists the same sequence under 1 other name. Lineage: Bacteria; Pseudomonadati; Pseudomonadota; Gammaproteobacteria; Enterobacterales; Enterobacteriaceae. The record is from RNAcentral.
ACCUUGAAAUACCACCCUUUAAUGUUUGAUGUUCUAACGUGGACCCGUAAUCCGGGUUGCGGACAGUGUCUGGUGGGUAGUUUGACUGGGGCGGUCUCCUCCUAAAGAGUAACGGAGGAGCACGAAGGUUGGCUAAUCCUGGUCGGACAUCAGGAGGUUAGUGCAAUGGCAUAAGCCAGCUUGACUGCGAGCGUGACGGCGCGAGCAGGUGCGAAAGCAGGUCAUAGUGAUCCGGUGGUUCUGAAUGGAAGGGCCAUCGCUCAACGGAUAAAAGGUACUCCGGGGAUAACAGGCUGAUACCGCCCAAGAGUUCAUAUCGACGGCGGUGUUUGGCACCUCGAUGUCGGCUCAUCACAUCCUGGGGCUGAAGUAGGUCCCAAGGGUAUGGCUGUUCGCCAUUUAAAGUGGUACGCGAGCUGGGUUUAGAACGUCGUGAGACAGUUCGGUCC